UACGUAGGGUGCAAGCGUUGUCCGGAAUUAUUGGGCGUAAAGAGCUUGUAGGCGGUUUGUCGCGUCUGCUGUGAAAUUUCGGGGCUCAACCCCGAACUUGCAGUGGGUACGGGCAGACUAGAGUGCGGUAGGGGUGACUGGAAUUCCUGGUGUAGCGGUGGAAUGCGCAGAUAUCAGGAGGAACACCGAUGGCGAAGGCAGGUCACUGGGCCGCGAACUGACGCUGAGGAGCGAAAGCAUGGGGAGCGAACAGG
This 254-nucleotide ribosomal RNA is filed under the name uncultured bacterium. RNAcentral's name for it is "partial 16S ribosomal RNA". It matches the Rfam family "Bacterial small subunit ribosomal RNA", at positions 524 to 776 of the family's 1533-position model. The record is from RNAcentral.